AGAGUUUGAUUAUGGCUCAGGACGAACGCUGGCGGCGCGCUUAACACAUGCAAGUCGAGCGAGAACCGGUCCUUCGGGACCGGGGAAAGCGGCGAACGGGUGAGUAACACGUGGGUAAUCAACCCCCGGCACCGGGAUAGCCCGAGGAAACUCGGAUUAAUACCGGACGGCCCAGCAGCUCUUCGGGGCGGCUGGAAAAGGUAGCUUCGGCCUCCGGCCGGGGACGAGCCCGCGGCGGAUUAGCUUGUUGGUGGGGUAACGGCCUACCAAGGCGACGAUCCGUAGCUGGUCUGAGAGGACGAUCAGCCACACUGGGACUGAGACACGGCCCAGACUCCUACGGGAGGCAGCAGUGGGGAAUCUUGCACAAUGGGCGAAAGCCUGAUGCAGCGACGCCGCGUGAGGGAAGAAGGCUUUCGGGUUGUAAACCUCUUUCAGGAGGGACGAAGCUACUCGGGUUAAUAGCCCAGAGGGUGACGGUACCUUCAGAAGAAGCCCCGGCUAACUACGUGCCAGCAGCCGCGGUAAUACGUAGGGGGCAAGCGUUGUCCGGAUUUAUUGGGCGUAAAGAGCGUGUAGGCGGCCAGGGAGGUCCGUUGUGAAAACUCGAGGCUCAACCUCGAGACGCCGAUGGAAACCCCCUGGCUAGAGUCCGGAAGAGGAGAGUGGAAUUCCUGGUGUAGCGGUGAAAUGCGCAGAUAUCAGGAAGAACACCCGUGGCUANNNCGGCUCUCUAGUACGGUACUGACGCUGAGACGCGAAAGCG
RNAcentral lists this ribosomal RNA (766 nucleotides) under uncultured bacterium. RNAcentral describes it as "bacterial SSU rRNA". It matches the Rfam family "Bacterial small subunit ribosomal RNA", at positions 8 to 761 of the family's 1533-position model. The record is from RNAcentral.